RNAcentral lists this ribosomal RNA (504 nucleotides) under uncultured bacterium. Its description in RNAcentral is "partial 16S ribosomal RNA". It matches the Rfam family "Bacterial small subunit ribosomal RNA", at positions 28 to 523 of the family's 1533-position model. The record is from RNAcentral.
GAUGAACGCUAGCGACAGGCCUAACACAUGCAAGUCGAGGGGCAGCACAUGAGUAGCAAUACGAUGGUGGCGACCGGCGCACGGGUGAGUAUCGCGUAUGCAACCUACCUUCCACAGGGGGAUAGCCUUCCGAAAGGGAGAUUAAUACCGCAUAAAACAGGGGCCCCGCAUGGGGAUAUUUGUUAAAGAUUUAUCGGUGGGAGAUGGGCAUGCGUUCCAUUAGCUAGUUGGCGGGGUAAUGGCCCACCAAGGCAUCGAUGGAUAGGGGAACUGAGAGGUUUAUCCCCCACACUGGAACUGAGACACGGUCCAGUCUCCUACGGGAGGCAGCAGUGAGGAAUAUUGGUCAAUGGGCGGGAGCCUGAACCAGCCAAGUCGCGUGAAGGAAGACGGUUCUAUGGAUUGUAAACUUCUUUUGCACUGGGGUAAAACGGGGGACGUGUCCCCCCUUGCAAGUACAGUGCGAAUAAGCAUCGGCUAACUCCGUGCCAGCAGCCGCGGUAA